CGGCACGGGUGCGUAACGCGUAUGCGACCUACCAUCAACAGGGGGAUAACACUGAGAAAUUGGUACUAAUACCCCAUAAUAUCUCAUGCGGCAUCGCAUGGGGUUGAAAACUCCGGUGGUUGAUGAUGGGCAUGCGUUGUAUUAGCUGGUUGGUGAGGUAACGGCUCACCAAGGCGACGAUACAUAGGGGGACUGAGAGGUUAACCCCCCACAUUGGCACUGAGACACGGACCAAACUCCUACGGGAGGCAGCAG
RNAcentral lists this ribosomal RNA (255 nucleotides) under uncultured bacterium. RNAcentral's name for it is "partial 16S ribosomal RNA". It matches the Rfam family "Bacterial small subunit ribosomal RNA", at positions 98 to 354 of the family's 1533-position model. The record is from RNAcentral.